GAUGAACGCUGGCGGCGUGCCUCAAACAUGCAAGUCGAGCGGGGCUAUGUAAUAUCGCAAGGUAGAACAUAGCCUAGCGGCGAACGGGUGAGUAACACGUGGGUAACCUGCCUGGAAGACAGGGAUAACGAUUCGAAAGGGUCGCUAAUACCUGAUAAUAUCCUUUCAUCGCAUGGUGAUAGGAAGAAAGGGGAAACCCGCUUUCAGAUGGGCCCGCGUCCCAUCAGCUAGUUGGUAAGGUAAAGGCUUACCAAGGCGACGACGGGUAGCCGGUCUGAGAGGAUGUACGGCCACACUGGGACUGAGAUACGGCCCAGACUCCUACGGGAGGCAGCAGUUGGGAAUCUUAGGCAAUGGACGAAAGUCUGACCUAGCGACGCCGCGUGAGGGAAGAAGGCCUUGGGUUGUAAACCUCUGUCAUGGGGGAAGAAGUAAGUGACGGUACCCAAGAGGAAGCCCCUGCUAACUACGUG
This 473-nucleotide ribosomal RNA is filed under the name uncultured bacterium. RNAcentral describes it as "bacterial SSU rRNA". It matches the Rfam family "Bacterial small subunit ribosomal RNA", at positions 28 to 507 of the family's 1533-position model. The record is from RNAcentral.